Molecule: ribosomal RNA, 436 nt
Filed under: uncultured Clostridium sp.
Lineage: Bacteria; Bacillati; Bacillota; Clostridia; Eubacteriales; Clostridiaceae
Description: bacterial SSU rRNA
Rfam family: Bacterial small subunit ribosomal RNA
Source: RNAcentral
UAACGCGAAGAACCUUACCUGGUCUUGACAUCCCGAUGACGAGUGAGCAAAGUCACUUUCCCUUCGGGGCAUUGGAGACAGGUGGUGCAUGGUUGUCGUCAGCUCGUGUCGUGAGAUGUUGGGUUAAGUCCCGCAACGAGCGCAACCCCUAUUUCCAGUAGCCAGCAAGAAAGAUGGGAACUCUGGAGAGACUGCCCGGGAUAACUGGGAGGAAGGCGGGGAUGACGUCAAAUCAUCAUGCCCCUUAUGAUCAGGGCUACACACGUGCUACAAUGGCGUAAACAAAGGGAAGCGAAGUGGUGACACGAAGCAAAUCCGAAAAAUAACGUUUCAGUUCGGAUUGUAGUCUGCAACUCGACUACAUGAAGCUGGAAUCGCUAGUAAUCGCGAAUCAGAAUGUCGCGGUGAAUACGUUCCCGGGCCUUGUACACACCGA